GUCGCUACUACCGAUUGAAUGGCUCAGUGAGGCCUUCGGACUGGCUCAGGGAGGUCGGCAACGACCACCCAGAGCCGGAAAGUUCGUCAAACUUGGUCAUUUAGAGGAAGUAA
This 113-nucleotide ribosomal RNA is filed under the name uncultured eukaryote. RNAcentral's name for it is "partial small subunit ribosomal RNA". It matches the Rfam family "Eukaryotic small subunit ribosomal RNA", at positions 1675 to 1785 of the family's 1831-position model. The record is from RNAcentral.